This 73-nucleotide transfer RNA is filed under the name Syntrichia ruralis. RNAcentral describes it as "tRNA-Glu". It matches the Rfam family "tRNA". Rfam says of the family: Transfer RNA (tRNA) molecules are approximately 80 nucleotides in length. Their secondary structure includes four short double-helical elements and three loops (D, anti-codon, and T loops). Further hydrogen bonds mediate the characteristic L-shaped molecular structure. tRNAs have two regions of fundamental functional importance: the anti-codon, which is responsible for specific mRNA codon recognition, and the 3' end, to which the tRNAs corresponding amino acid is attached (by aminoacyl-tRNA synthetases). tRNAs cope with the degeneracy of the genetic code in two manners: having more than one tRNA (with a specific anti-codon) for a particular amino acid; and 'wobble' base-pairing, i.e. permitting non-standard base-pairing at the 3rd anti-codon position. The record is from RNAcentral. Lineage: Eukaryota; Viridiplantae; Streptophyta; Bryopsida; Pottiales; Pottiaceae. RNAcentral also lists the same sequence under 13 other names.
GCCCCCAUCGUCUAGUGGCCUAGGACAUCUCUCUUUCAAGGAGGCGACGGGGAUUCGAAUUCCCCUGGGGGUA